UACGUAGGUGGCAAGCGUUGUCCGGAAUUAUUGGGCGUAAAGCGCGCGCAGGCGGCCUCUUAAGUCUGAUGUGAAAGCCCCCGGCUCAACCGGGGAGGGCCAUUGGAAACUGGGAGGCUUGAGUAUAGGAGAGAAGAGUGGAAUUCCACGUGUAGCGGUGAAAUGCGUAGAGAUGUGGGAGGAACACCAGUGGCGAAGGCGACUCUUUGGCCUAUAACUGACGCUGAGGCGCGAAAGCGUGGGGAGCAAACAGG
This 254-nucleotide ribosomal RNA is filed under the name uncultured bacterium. Its description in RNAcentral is "partial 16S ribosomal RNA". It matches the Rfam family "Bacterial small subunit ribosomal RNA", at positions 524 to 776 of the family's 1533-position model. The record is from RNAcentral.